This 497-nucleotide ribosomal RNA is filed under the name uncultured bacterium. Its description in RNAcentral is "partial 16S ribosomal RNA". It matches the Rfam family "Bacterial small subunit ribosomal RNA", at positions 28 to 507 of the family's 1533-position model. The record is from RNAcentral.
GAUGAACGCUGGCGGCGUGCCUAAUACAUGCAAGUCGAGCGGACAGACGAUGAUCUUGCUGCUUGGACGUUAGCCGCGGACGUGUGAGUAACACGUGUAUAACCUACCUAUAAGACUGAUAUAACUUCGGGAAACCGGAUCUAAUACCAUAUAAUAUUUUGAACCGCAUUGUUCGAUAGUGAAAUACGGCGUUGCUGUCACUUAUAGAUGGAUCUCGGCUGGAUUAGCUAGUUGUUAAGGUAACGGCUUACCAAGGCAACGAGGCGUAACCGACGUGACAGGCGGAUAGCCCACAUUGGAACGGAGCCACGGUCCAGACUCCUAAGGGAGGCCGCAGUAGCGAACCGUCCGCAAUGGGCGAAAGCAUGACGGAGCAACGCGGAGCGAGUGAUGACGGCCCUCGGAUCGUAAAAACCUGUUAUUAGGGAAGAACCUCUGUGUCAUUAAAUGUGGCGUUAUUGACGGUACCUAAUCAGAAAGCAACGGCUAACUACGUG